CCUACGGGUGGCAGCAGUGAGGAAUAUUGGUCAAUGGACGAGAGUCUGAACCAGCCAAGUAGCGUGAAGGAUGACUGCCCUAUGGGUUGUAAACUUCUUUUAUAAAGGAAUAAAACGAGGCACGUGUGCCUUUUUGCAUGUACUUUAUGAAUAAGGAUCGGCUAACUCCGUGCCAGCAGCCGCGGUAAUACAGAGGUCUCAAGCGUUGUUCGGAAUCACUGGGCGUAAAGCGCUCGUAGGCGGUAUGUCAAGUCAAGGGUGAAAUCCCCGCGCUCAACGUGGGAACUGCCUUUGAAACUGGCAAACUGGAGUGUGUGAGAGGAUAGUGGAAUUCCAGGUGUAGGAGUGAAAUCCGUAGAUAUCUGGAGGAACAUCAGUGGCGAAGGCGACUAUCUGGCACAUAACUGACGCUGAGGAGCGAAAGCGUGGGUAGCAAACAGGAUUAGAUACCCUAGUAGUC
RNAcentral lists this ribosomal RNA (460 nucleotides) under uncultured bacterium. RNAcentral's name for it is "partial 16S ribosomal RNA". It matches the Rfam family "Bacterial small subunit ribosomal RNA", at positions 338 to 795 of the family's 1533-position model. The record is from RNAcentral.